GACGAACGCUGGCGGCGUGCUUAACACAUGCAAGUCGAACGAAGAGCGAUGGAAGCUUGCUUCUAUCAAUCUUAGUGGCGAACGGGUGAGUAACGCGUAAUCAACCUGCCCUUCAGAGGGGGACAACAGUUGGAAACGACUGCUAAUACCGCAUACGAUCUAACCUCGGCAUCGAGGAUAGAUGAAAGGUGGCCUCUACAUGUAAGCUAUCACUGAAGGAGGGGAUUGCGUCUGAUUAGCUAGUUGGAGGGGUAACGGCCCACCAAGGCGAUGAUCAGUAGCCGGUCUGAGAGGAUGAACGGCAACAUUGGGACUGAGACACGGCCCAGACUCCUACGGGAGGCAGCAGUGGGGAACCUUCAGCAAUGGACGAAAGUCUGACGGAGCAACGCCGCGUGAGAGAUGACGGCCUUCGGGUUGUAAAGCUCUGUUAAUCGGGACGAAAGGCCUUCUUGCGAAUAGUGAGAAGGAUUGACGGUACCGGAAGAGAAAGCCACGGCUAACUACGUG
This 510-nucleotide ribosomal RNA is filed under the name uncultured bacterium. RNAcentral describes it as "partial 16S ribosomal RNA". It matches the Rfam family "Bacterial small subunit ribosomal RNA", at positions 28 to 507 of the family's 1533-position model. The record is from RNAcentral.